This is a long non-coding RNA of Trachemys scripta elegans, 200 nucleotides long. RefSeq lists it as uncharacterized. The transcript is spliced from 2 exons. The record is from RefSeq and is a predicted model, not a curated record. Lineage: Eukaryota; Metazoa; Chordata; Testudines; Emydidae.
CUGAUACUCCAGCUACUGGCUCCGGGGCUGCCGCUUACCUCGGCCGCUGCACAACCGCACGCUGGACGGCGCCUCGGGACGCACCGGGAAUCUGCCGCUGCUGCCGCCGCCUGCUCGGCGCACAAGAUACUGCUACAACACAGCAACUCGACAGCCUCAUUACAGACAGAAGAGUACAAAGGAAAGUACUUCAUGUAGAU